This 793-nucleotide ribosomal RNA is filed under the name uncultured bacterium. RNAcentral's name for it is "bacterial SSU rRNA". It matches the Rfam family "Bacterial small subunit ribosomal RNA", at positions 60 to 849 of the family's 1533-position model. The record is from RNAcentral.
AGCGGGGGGUGAUGGCUUGCCUCACCUGCCGGCGACCGGCGCACGGGUGAGUAACACGUAUGCAACCUGCCCGCCACAGGGGGAUAAGCGGAAGAAAUUCCGUCUAAUACCGCGUGACGCGGCGCCGGGGCAUCCCGGUGCCGCCAAAGGGAUUACCGGUGGCGGAUGGGCAUGCGGCGCAUUAGCUAGUCGGCGGGGUAACGGCCCACCGAGGCGACGAUGCGUAGGGGUUCUGAGAGGAAGGUCCCCCACACUGGUACUGAGACACGGACCAGACUCCUACGGGAGGCAGCAGUGAGGAAUAUUGGUCAAUGGGCGCGAGCCUGAACCAGCCAAGUCGCGUGAGGGAUGACGGUCCUACGGAUUGUAAACCUCUUUUGCCGGGGAGCAAGCGUGCGUUCGUGAACGCGCGUCGAGAGUACCCGGAGAAAAAGCAUCGGCUAACUCCGUGCCAGCAGCCGCGGUAAUACGGAGGAUGCGAGCGUUAUCCGGAUUUAUUGGGUUUAAAGGGUGCGUAGGCGGGAUGCCAAGUCAGCGGUAAAAAUGCGGUGCUCAACGCCGUCGAGCCGUUGAAACUGGCGUUCUUGAGUGGGCGAGAAGUAUGCGGAAUGCGUGGUGUAGCGGUGAAAUGCAUAGAUAUCACGCAGAACUCCGAUUGCGAAGGCAGCAUACCGGCGCCCUACUGACGCUGAGGCACGAAAGCGUGGGUAUCGAACAGGAUUAGAUACCCUGGUAGUCCACGCAGUAAACGAUGAAUGCUAACUGUCCGGCUCGAAUGAGCGCUGGGCGGUAC